UAGGGAAUAUUGCGCAAUGGGCGAAAGCCUGACGCAGCCAUGCCGCGUGGAUGAUGAAGGCCUUCGGGUCGUAAAGUCCUUUUCUGAGGGAAGAACAAGUGGAGUAGGAAAUGACUCCGCCCUGACGGUACCUCAGGAAUAAGGAACGGCAAACUCCGUGCCAGCAGCCGCGGUAAUACGGAGGUUCCAAGCGUUGUUCGGAUUUACUGGGCGUAAAGGGAGCGCAGGCGGCUUGGUCAGUCUGAAGUGGAAGACCGGGGCUCAACCCCGGAAGGCCUUUGGAUACUGCCGGGCUUGAGUUCGUGAGAGGAAAGCGGAAUUCCAGGUGUAGCGGUGAAAUGCGUAGAUAUCUGGAGGAACAUCUGUGGCGAAAGCGGCUUUCUGGCACGAUACUGACGCUGAGGCUCGAAAGCGUGGGGAGCGAACAGGAUUAGAUACCCCCGUAGUCC
This 449-nucleotide ribosomal RNA is filed under the name uncultured prokaryote. RNAcentral's name for it is "bacterial SSU rRNA". It matches the Rfam family "Bacterial small subunit ribosomal RNA", at positions 355 to 796 of the family's 1533-position model. The record is from RNAcentral.